AUGAACGCUGGCGGCGUGCCUAAUCCAUGCCCGUCGAGCGAACGGACGAGAAGCUUGCUUCUCUGAUGUUAGCGGCGGACGGGUGAGUAACACGUGGAUAACCUACCUAUAAGACUGGGAUAACUUCGGGAAACCGGAGCUAAUACCGGCUAAUAUUUUGAACCGCAUGGUUCAAAAGUGAAAGACGGUCUUGCUGUCACUUAUAGAUGGAUCCGCGCUGCAUUAGCUAGUUGGUAAGGUAACGGCUUACCAAGGCAACGAUGCAUAGCCGACCUGAGAGGGUGAUCGGCCACACUGGAACUGAGACACGGUCCAGACUCCUACGGGAGGCAGCAGUAGGGAAUCUUCCGCAAUGGGCGAAAGCCUGACGGAGCAACGCCGCGUGAGUGAUGAAGGUCUUCGGAUCGUAAAACUCUGUUAUUAGGGAAGAACAUAUGUGUAAGUAACUGUGCACAUCUUGACGGUACCUAAUCAGAAAGCCACGGCUAACUACGUG
RNAcentral lists this ribosomal RNA (496 nucleotides) under uncultured bacterium. RNAcentral describes it as "partial 16S ribosomal RNA". It matches the Rfam family "Bacterial small subunit ribosomal RNA", at positions 29 to 507 of the family's 1533-position model. The record is from RNAcentral.